AUAGCAACGGGCAGCCGGAAGAUGCGGCCAUUCCUCUCCCUUUUGUCCAUUGCAUUUCAGCAGCGCCCGCGCACAUGGACGCUCCAAUUACAGCUCUAGAGGCUAGAAAUUGGCAGUCAGGAUGUGUGUAAGGCCACGCUCCCUCUGAAGACUCCAGGGGAGGAUCUUUCCUUGCCUCCUCCAGCUUCUGGUGGCUGCCAGCAUCCUUGGCAUUCCUUGGCCUGUGGACACAUCACUCUCAUCUCUGCCCAUGGUCACAACCCCAAGCUCCAGAAUACAGACCAGCAGGCGAGGAGACAAGGAGGCAAGCAGAUGGAUGGUGGAACAAAGUGGCAGAGAAAGAGAGAAGAGGAGAGAUGUCUGGACGCCAAGAGGAGUCUGGCUGGGGCCAGUCAGAGAAGAGUCCAGCGGCUGGGCAGCCCGACUCCAGGGGAAGAUCACCUUCCCACUCCAUCCCCCUUCACGCUCCCCAUCCAUCUCACUAAGAGCCAUCUCUACCACUCAAUAAAACCUUGCAUUCAUCCUUCAAA
RNAcentral lists this long non-coding RNA (530 nucleotides) under Homo sapiens (human). Its description in RNAcentral is "HSALNT0370831". The record is from RNAcentral. Lineage: Eukaryota; Metazoa; Chordata; Mammalia; Primates; Hominidae.